This is a non-coding RNA of Pelobates cultripes (western spadefoot toad), 303 nucleotides long. The record is from the annotation of a GenBank genome assembly. NCBI's taxonomy places the organism in Eukaryota, Metazoa, Chordata, Amphibia, Anura, Pelobatidae.
GUGGAUGAAGGGUGCAGUGUGUGAAGGGUGUAGUUAGUGUGUGUGUUUGGUGUGCAGUGGGGGGAAGAGGAGUGCAGUGUGUUUGUGUGAAAGGGUGCAUGUGUGUGUGUGAGAGGGGUGCAGUGUGUGUGUGAAAUGUGCAGUGUGUAUGAAAGGUGCUGUGUGUAUGAAAGGUGCUGUGUGUAUGUGUGUGUCUGUGUGAAGGGUGCAGUGUGUUUGAAAGGUGCUGUGUGCCUGUGUGUAUCUGUGUGAAGGGUGCAGUGUAUGUGAAGGGUGCAGUGUGUCAGGAAUGAAGUGUGUGCG